CUGAGUACGGCGGAACACGUGAAAUUCCGUCGGAAUCCGGGAGGACCAUCUCCCAAGGCUAAAUACUCCCUAGUGACCGAUAGUGAACCAGUACCGUGAGGGAAAGGUGAAAAGCACCCCGGAAGGGGAGUGAAACAGUUCCUGAAACCGUGUGCCUACAAGUAGUUAGAGCCCGUUAAUGGGUGAUAGCGUGCCUUUUGUAGAAUGAACCGGCGAGUUACGAUUUGUUGCAAGGUUAAGCGGAAAAAGCGGAGCCGUAGCGAAAGCGAGUCUGAAUAGGGCGCAUAAGUAACAGGUCGUAGACCCGAAACCAGGUGAUCUACCCAUGUCCAGGAUGAAGGUAAGGUAAUACUUACUGGAGGUCCGAACCCACGCACGUUGAAAAGUGCGGGGAUGAGGUGUGGGUAGCGGAGAAAUUCCAAUCGAACUUGGAGAUAGCUGGUUCUCUCCGAAAUAGCUUUAGGGCUAGCCUCGAGGUAAAGAGUCAUGGAGGUAGAGCACUGUUUGGACUAGGGGCCCUUCUCGGGUUACCGAAUUCAGAUAAACUCCGAAUGCCAUGUACUUAUACUCGGGAGUCAGACUGCGAGUGAUAAGAUCCGUAGUCGAAAGGGAAACAGCCCAGACCACCAGUUAAGGUCCCCAAAUAUAUGUUAAGUGGAAAAGGAUGUGGGGUUGCUUAGACAACCAGGAUGUUGGCUUAGAAGCAGCCACCAUUGAAAGAGUGCGUAAUAGCUCACUGGUCGAGUGACCCCGCGCCGAAAAUGUACCGGGGCUAAACAUAUUACCGAAACUGUGGAUGAACCUCUUUAGAGGUUCGUGGUAGGAGAGCGUUCUAAGGGCGGUGAAGUCAGACCGGAAGGACUGGUGGAGCGCUUAGAAGUGAGAAUGCCGGUAUGAGUAGCGAAAGAAGGGUGAGAAUCCCUUCCACCGAAUAUCUAAGGUUUCCUGAGGAAGGCUCGUCCGCUCAGGGUUAGUCGGGACCUAAGCCGAGGCCGAUAGGCGUAGGCGAUGGACAACAGGUAGAGAUUCCUGUACCAGUGCUAAUUGUUUAACCGAUGGGGUGACACAGAAGGAUAGGG
RNAcentral lists this ribosomal RNA (1079 nucleotides) under Listeria monocytogenes. RNAcentral describes it as "partial 23S ribosomal RNA". It matches the Rfam family "Bacterial large subunit ribosomal RNA", at positions 408 to 1487 of the family's 2925-position model. Lineage: Bacteria; Bacillati; Bacillota; Bacilli; Caryophanales; Listeriaceae. The record is from RNAcentral.